UCCUGAUUGAUUUUGGUGGCCAUCGAAUGGCGGACGGUUGACUAUCUCGUAUGUAAACUGCCAAGAAACGGGGGACAACAUUCGAAAACAGAUGCUAAUACCGCAUAACAUCGUUGGUCGCAUGAACAACGCUUAAAAUAUGGCUUCUCGCUAUCCCUUCUGGAUGGACCUGCGGUGCAUUAGCUUGUUGGUGGGGUAACGGCGUACCGAGGCGAAGAUGCAUAACCGAGUUGACAGACUGAUAGGGCACAAUGGGACUGACACACGGCCCAUACUCCUACGGGAGGCAGCAGUAGGGAAUCUUCCACAAUGGGCGCAAGCCUGAUGGAGCAGCACAGCGUGAGUGAAUAAGGGUUUCGGCUCGUAAAGCUCUGUUGUUAAAGAAGAACACGUAUGAGAGUAACUGUUCAUACGUUGACGGUAUUUAACCAAAAAGUCACGGCUAACUACGUGCCAUCAGCCGCGGUAAUACGUAGGUGGCAAGCGUUAUCCGGAUUUAUUGGGCGUAAAGAGAGCGCAGGCGGAUUUGUAAGUCUGAUGUGAAACCCUUCGGCUUAACCGGAUAAUUGCAUCGGAAACUGGAUAACUUGAGUGCAGAACA
RNAcentral lists this ribosomal RNA (601 nucleotides) under Limosilactobacillus fermentum. Its description in RNAcentral is "bacterial SSU rRNA". It matches the Rfam family "Bacterial small subunit ribosomal RNA", at positions 62 to 655 of the family's 1533-position model. Lineage: Bacteria; Bacillati; Bacillota; Bacilli; Lactobacillales; Lactobacillaceae. The record is from RNAcentral.